Molecule: ribosomal RNA, 750 nt
Filed under: Triticum aestivum (bread wheat)
Lineage: Eukaryota; Viridiplantae; Streptophyta; Magnoliopsida; Poales; Poaceae
Description: partial small subunit ribosomal RNA
Source: RNAcentral
AUGGAUGUAGACGGACGCGGAGAUGAAUUGGCGGCGUCGCCUCGCCCCGCUUGCGGCAAGAAGCGGCCGCUUUCCCCCUCAACUCCUCAGAACGACGUUGCGGACUCGUCCAAGUCCACCACCAGCGACGAGGACGACAACCCCUGGGCGCUCAGCGACGACGAAGAGGAGGAUGGAUACCACGGGAAGUACCGCCCUUUUACAGUUGACGAUUUCCCAAGGGUUAGCAGUGAUGAUGAUGAGCAGACAGUUGCCGUGUAUAAGAAUCCAGAGAUUUCUACCCGAGGCCCAAGACCGCUUAGGAGAUUUCCAGCAUUUAAGCCAGAAAGUCGACAUUCAUGUGAUAUGGAGUAUCAACUUGCCGAUGAAUCUGAAAUCAGUUUCAGCAAUGUUGGGACCGUUGAUUGCUCACAUAAGGGUUAUUGCAGAUCGAUGGACAUGGUGCAGUUCAUUGAUCUCAAAAUCGCUGGCUAUCAGCAUGCCCGGCCUGGAUGUGCCAAAAUAUUUGGGUUUUUCGCAGCGCGGGAUCGGGUCGAACCUUUGCGCAAUUAUGUCUAUAGGCGUGAAAUUGAGAAUUAUGAAGCUGUAACUGUGAAGCCAAAGACGACCCACAGGAAGAUGGGCCCAAAGGCGACCUUCUUAUUGAAGGAUGUACUGAAUUCAGCACCAUGUACACAACAGAAUCAUCCAUUCAAAAUCGGCGCCUUUAUGGGGACAAGUGUUCACUGGAUGUCAAGUUUACGGCGCUGA